GACGAACGCUGGCGGCGUGCUUAACACAUGCAAGUCGAACGGAAGGGCCCUGCUUUUGUGGGGUGCUCGAGUGGCGAACGGGUGAGUAACACGUGAGUAACCUGCCCUUGACUUUGGGAUAACUUCAGGAAACUGGGGCUAAUACCGGAUAGGAGCUCCUGCUGCAUGGUGGGGGUUGGAAAGUUUCGGCGGUUGGGGAUGGACUCGCGGCUUAUCAGCUUGUUGGUGGGGUAGUGGCUUACCAAGGCUUUGACGGGUAGCCGGCCUGAGAGGGUGACCGGCCACAUUGGGACUGAGAUACGACCCAGACUCCUACGGGAGGCAGCAGUGGGGAAUAUUGCACAAUGGGCGGAAGCCUGAUGCAGCAACGCCGCGUGCGGGAUGACGGCCUUCGGGUUGUAAACCGCUUUCGCCUGUGACGAAGCGUGAGUGACGGUAAUGGGUAAAGAAGCACCGGCUAACUACGUG
This 468-nucleotide ribosomal RNA is filed under the name uncultured bacterium. RNAcentral describes it as "partial 16S ribosomal RNA". It matches the Rfam family "Bacterial small subunit ribosomal RNA", at positions 28 to 507 of the family's 1533-position model. The record is from RNAcentral.